GGAGAGGUACCGAAGUGGUCGUAACGGGGUCGACUCGAAAUCGACUUGGGGGUCAAAAGCUCUCACGUGGGUUCGAAUCCCACCCUCUCCGCCA
Molecule: transfer RNA, 94 nt
Filed under: Deltaproteobacteria bacterium
Lineage: Bacteria; Pseudomonadati; Myxococcota; Myxococcia
Also listed under: 2 other names
Description: tRNA-Ser
Rfam family: tRNA
About the family: Transfer RNA (tRNA) molecules are approximately 80 nucleotides in length.
Source: RNAcentral